GACAGAGUUGGCGAGCGUUGUUCGGAAUUACUGGGCUUAAAGGGCGAGUAGGUGGUGGAGCAAGUCUGAGGUGGAAUCCUACGGCUUAACCGUAGAACUGCCUUGGAAACUGUUUUACUUGAGUCAGUGAGGGGAGGGCGGAAUUCCUGGUGUAGCGGUGAAAUGCGUAGAUAUCAGGAGGAAGGCCUGUGGCGAAAGUGGCCCUCUGGCACUGUACUGACGCUGAGGCGCGAAAGCGUGGGGAGCAAACAGG
Molecule: ribosomal RNA, 253 nt
Filed under: uncultured bacterium
Lineage: Bacteria
Description: partial 16S ribosomal RNA
Rfam family: Bacterial small subunit ribosomal RNA
Source: RNAcentral